GCAAACUUGGUCAUUUAGAGGAAGUAAAAGUCGUAACAAGGUUUCCGUAGGUGAACCUGCGGAAGGAUCAUUAUCGAAUGAAACUGAGUAAAGUUGUAGCUGGCUUCAGGAAUUUGGAGCAUGUGCACACUUUGCUUGUUCUUCCAACCUUCACACUUUUGUGCACUUCUCAUGGGAUCAAGUUGUGGUAUGAAAUACAACCGUCAGCUGUUCUCGUGUGUUUUUCAAAAACAUACAUCUGUUUGUUCAAGGAAUGUCAUACGUUUGUGCAUCAUUGCAUGUAAAUACAACUUUCAGCAACGGAUCUCUUGGCUCUCGCAUCGAUGAAGAACGCAGC
RNAcentral lists this unclassified non-coding RNA (337 nucleotides) under uncultured fungus. RNAcentral's name for it is "partial contains small subunit ribosomal RNA, internal transcribed spacer 1, and 5.8S ribosomal RNA". The stretch from base 1 to 73 matches the Rfam family "Eukaryotic small subunit ribosomal RNA", at positions 1759 to 1831 of the family's 1831-position model. Lineage: Eukaryota; Fungi. The record is from RNAcentral.